RNAcentral lists this transfer RNA (68 nucleotides) under Ips sexdentatus. RNAcentral describes it as "tRNA-Trp". The record is from RNAcentral. Lineage: Eukaryota; Metazoa; Arthropoda; Insecta; Coleoptera; Curculionidae.
AAGAAUUUAAGUUAAAUAAACUUUUAACCUUCAAAGUUAACUAUAGGGGGGCACACACCUAAUUCUUA